UGCCUAAUACAUGCAAGUCGAGCGAACGGACGAGAAGCUUGCUUCUCUGAUGUUAGCGGCGGACGGGUGAGUAACACGUGGAUAACCUACCUAUAAGACUGGGAUAACUUCGGGAAACCGGAGCUAAUACCGGAUAAUAUUUUGAACCGCAUGGUUCAAAAGUGAAAGACGGUCUUGCUGUCACUUAUAGAUGGAUCCGCGCUGCAUUAGCUAGUUGGUAAGGUAACGGCUUACCAAGGCAACGAUGCAUAGCCGACCUGAGAGGGUGAUCGGCCACACUGGAACUGAGACACGGUCCAGACUCCUACGGGAGGCAGCAGUAGGGAAUCUUCCGCAAUGGGCGAAAGCCUGACGGAGCAACGCCGCGUGAGUGAUGAAGGUCUUCGGAUCGUAAAACUCUGUUAUUAGGGAAGAACAUAUGUGUAAGUAACUGUGCACAUCUUGACGGUACCUAAUCAGAAAGCCACGGCUAACUACGUGCCAGCAGCCGCGGUAAUACGUAGGUGGCAAGCGUUAUCCGGAAUUAUUGGGCGUAAAGCGCGCGUAGGCGGUUUUUUAAGUCUGAUGUGAAAGCCCACGGCUCAACCGUGGAGGGUCAUUGGAAACUGGAAAACUUGAGUGCAGAAGAGGAAAGUGGAAUUCCAUGUGUAGCGGUGAAAUGCGCAGAGAUAUGGAGGAACACCAGUGGCGAAGGCGACUUUCUGGUCUGUAACUGACGCUGAUGUGCGAAAGCGUGGGGAUCAAACAGGAUUAGAUACCCUGGUAGUCCACGCCGUAAACGAUGAGUGCUAAGUGUUAGGGGGUUUCCGCCCCUUAGUGCUGCAGCUAACGCAUUAAGCACUCCGCCUGGGGAGUACGACCGCAAGGUUGAAACUCAAAGGAAUUGACGGGGACCCGCACAAGCGGUGGAGCAUGUGGUUUAAUUCGAAGCAACGCGAAGAACCUUACCAAAUCUUGACAUCCUUUGACAACUCUAGAGAUAGAGCCUUCCCCUUCGGGGGACAAAGUGACAGGUGGUGCAUGGUUGUCGUCAGCUCGUGUCGUGAGAUGUUGGGUUAAGUCCCGCAACGAGCGCAACCCUUAAGCUUAGUUGCCAUCAUUAAGUUGCGCACUCUAAGUUGACUGCCGGUGACAAACCGGAGGAAGGUGGGGAUGACGUCAAAUCAUCAUGCCCCUUAUGAUUUGGGCUACACACGUGCUACAAUGGACAAUCCAAAGGGCAGCGAAACCGCGAGGUCAAGCAAAUCCCAUAAAGUUGUUCUCAGUUCGGAUUGUAGUCUGCAACUCGACUACAUGAAGCUGGAAUCGCUAGUAAUCGUAGAUCAGCAUGCUACGGUGAAUACGUUCCC
This 1349-nucleotide ribosomal RNA is filed under the name Staphylococcus aureus. RNAcentral describes it as "bacterial SSU rRNA". It matches the Rfam family "Bacterial small subunit ribosomal RNA", at positions 45 to 1375 of the family's 1533-position model. Lineage: Bacteria; Bacillati; Bacillota; Bacilli; Caryophanales; Staphylococcaceae. The record is from RNAcentral.